Molecule: ribosomal RNA, 1924 nt
Filed under: human gut metagenome
Description: bacterial LSU rRNA
Rfam family: Bacterial large subunit ribosomal RNA
Source: RNAcentral
UGAAUGUCCUAGGGGGUAUUGCACUUACCGAAGACUAUCAAACUCCGAAUGCCGUUUUCUUUUACUUGGGAGUCAGACUGUGGGUGAUAAGAUUCAUAGUCAAAAGGGCAACAGCCCAGAUCGUCAGCUAAGGUCCCUAAAUGUACGUUAAGUGGUAAAGGAUGUGGGAUUGCACAGACAACCAGGAUGUUGGCUUAGAAGCAGCCACUCAUUUAAAGAGUGCGUAAUAGCUCACUGGUCGAGUGAUCCUGCGCCGAAAAUUUCCGGGGCUAAAACGUACUACCGAAGCUACGGCAUCAUUUAUGAUGGGUAGGGGAGCUUCGUAUGCAGGCUGAAGCAUGACCGUAAGGACAUGUGGACAGUAUACGAGUGAGAAUGUUGGCAUGAGUAGCGAGACGUGGGUGAGAAUCCCACGGGCCGUAAACCCAAGGUUUCCAGGGGAAGGUUCGUCCGCCCUGGGUUAGUCGGGACCUAAGCCGAGGCCGAAAGGCGUAGGUGAUGGACAACAGGUUGAUAUUCCUGUACCGCCAAUAAGCGUUUGAGAGAUGGAGUGACACAGUAGGAUAAGCUAACCGUACUGUUGGUUAUGUACGGCUAAGCAUUGAGGCAGUCUAAAUAGGCAAAUCCGUUUAGACAAUGCUAGGAUGUGAUGGGGAAGCCCUUCGGGGCGAAGUAGCUGAUUUCACACUGUCAAGAAAAGCUUCUAUCGAGUUUAAAGGCGCCCGUACCGUAAACCGACACAGGUGGGUGAGGAGAGUAUCCUAAGGCCAGCGAGAGAACUAUUGUUAAGGAACUCGGCAAAAUGACCCCGUAACUUAGGGAGAAGGGGUGCCUGUCUAUGACAGGCCGCAGAGAAUAGGCCCAAGCGACUGUUUACCAAAAACACAGGUUUCUGCUAAGUCGCAAGACGAUGUAUAGGAGCUGACGCCUGCCCGGUGCUGGAAGGUUAAGGGGAUCUGUUAGAGCAAUCGAAGCAGUGAACUUAAGCCCCAGUAAACGGCGGCCGUAACUAUAACGGUCCUAAGGUAGCGAAAUUCCUUGUCGGGUAAGUUCCGACCCGCACGAAAGGCGUAACGAUUUGGGCACUGUCUCAACAAUAGACUCGGUGAAAUUGUAAUCCCGGUGAAGAUGCCGGGUACCUGCGACAGGACGGAAAGACCCCAUGGAGCUUUACUGUAGCUUGACGUUGGGUCUUGGUACUACAUGUACAGGAUAGGUGGGAGACUAUGAAGCAUGGACGCCAGUCUGUGUGGAGUCAUCCUUGGGAUACCACCCUUGUAGUACUGGGAUCCUAACCAUAGGCCUUGAAUCAGGUCUUGGAACACCGUCAGGUGGGCAGUUUGACUGGGGCGGUCGCCUCCUAAAAAGUAACGGAGGCGCUCAAAGGUUUCCUCAGCACGGUCGGAAAUCGUGCGAAGAGUGUAAAGGCAAAAGGAAGCUUGAUUGCAAGACAUACAGGUCGAGCAAGGACGAAAGUCGGACUUAGUGAUCCGGUGGUACCGCAUGGAAGGGCCAUCGCUCAACGGAUAAAAGCUACCCUGGGGAUAACAGGCUUAUCUCCCCCAAGAGUCCACAUCGACGGGGAGGUUUGGCACCUCGAUGUCGGCUCAUCACAUCCUGGGGCUGUAGUAGGUCCCAAGGGUUGGGCUGUUCGCCCAUUAAAGUGGUACGCGAGCUGGGUUCAGAACGUCGUGAGACAGUUCGGUCCCUAUCCGUCGCAGGCGUAGGAAAUUUGAGAAGACCUGUCCUUAGUACGAGAGGACCGGGAUGGACGUACCUCUGGUGUACCAGUUGUUCUGCCAAGGGCAUGGCUGGGUAGCUAUGUACGGAAUGGAUAAGCGCUGAAAGCAUCUAAGCGCGAAGCCAACUUCAAGAUAAGAUUUCCCACCGUAAGGGUAAGACCCCAGGAAGACUACCUGGUUGA